CCCACGACUAACCCCCUGUAAAUUUCCCUCGCUGAUUUUCCUAUUACAACUAUGCAGCAGAGGGUAUAAUCUGAACUUGACGUAACUACAGAAAACCAGUUUCGUUUUCUCUUUCGUUUUUUGUCUCAACUCUUCUCUUUUCGUCUGAAACACCUCCACCAUGAAAAAUAUUUCUGAAACACAUCCAGCAUGAAAGAAGAACAAAGGGUACGGAAAAUCUGAGGCUUAGCAUAAGAUUUCAAUCCAGGCUUCAUCAGCUCCCAUUUAUCUUUCCGGUGCAGUGAAAACCUAUCAAAGAACUGGGGCUCGGAGUUGGGAUAUGUAGUGCUUUUUUUCUUUGGUCUCAUAUGAGCUUAACAAAGUCGAUGUGAAAAUUGUUGUAUUUAUAUAUGUUAUCGCGAUCUCAAAAAGCAUGUGUUACAGUGUUUUAGUAUUGCAUAUUACAUUUUGUAUUAA
Molecule: long non-coding RNA, 456 nt
Organism: Papaver somniferum (opium poppy)
Lineage: Eukaryota; Viridiplantae; Streptophyta; Magnoliopsida; Ranunculales; Papaveraceae
Exons: 2
Source: RefSeq, a predicted model, not a curated record